RNAcentral lists this transfer RNA (71 nucleotides) under Camelus bactrianus (Bactrian camel). It matches the Rfam family "tRNA". Rfam says of the family: Transfer RNA (tRNA) molecules are approximately 80 nucleotides in length. Their secondary structure includes four short double-helical elements and three loops (D, anti-codon, and T loops). RNAcentral also lists the same sequence under 2 other names. Lineage: Eukaryota; Metazoa; Chordata; Mammalia; Artiodactyla; Camelidae. The record is from Rfam by way of RNAcentral.
GAGGGUACAGCUCAGUGGUAGAGCACAUGCUUAGCAUGCAUGGGGUCCUGAGUUAAUCCCCAAUAUCUCCA